RNAcentral lists this ribosomal RNA (450 nucleotides) under uncultured Desulfobulbus sp. RNAcentral describes it as "bacterial SSU rRNA". It matches the Rfam family "Bacterial small subunit ribosomal RNA", at positions 938 to 1382 of the family's 1533-position model. The record is from RNAcentral. Lineage: Bacteria; Pseudomonadati; Thermodesulfobacteriota; Desulfobulbia; Desulfobulbales; Desulfobulbaceae.
UAUGUGGUUUAAUUCGAUGCAACGCGAAGAACCUUACCUGGUCUUGACAUCCCGGAGACCCUUAGGAAACUAGGGGUGCUUCCAUCUGGAAGAAUCUGGAGACAGGUGCUGCAUGGCUGUCGUCAGCUCGUGUCGUGAGAUGUUGGGUUAAGUCCCGCAACGAGCGCAACCCUUGCCUUUAGUUGCCAGCAGUUCGGCUGGGCACUCUAAAGGGAACUGCCGGUGUUAAACCGGAGGAAGGUGGGGAUGACGUCAAGUCCUCAUGGCCUUUAUGACCAGGGCUACACACGUACUACAAUGGCCGAUACAAAGGGCAGCGACACUGCGAGGUGAAGCCAAUCCCGUAAAAUCGGUCUCAGUCCGGAUUGGAGUCUGCAACUCGACUCCAUGAAGUUGGAAUCGCUAGUAAUCGUGGAUCAGCAUGCCACGGUGAAUACGUUCCCGGGCCUU